UUGAAAUCACCAAAUGUACAAGAAGAUCCCAAUGGAAGCAAAGCGACAAUAUCAGCAGACCCCACAAGAUGGCACACAAGAGUAUUUUUCUCUUUUUAGGAUGACCCGGAGAAGAAGAGUUUCUGUUUCAUUUAGUUUCUCACUUUUCUCCUGAUUACUGUUCCUUCCUAUUUCUAGCUAAAGUUGCAAGGCUCUGCUUAUCUGCUGAGGGUGAAACUGGGUAAGAUUGGUUGGCAGAAGCUGGAGCUAAUAGCAGGCGCUCACUCUGCUCCCGGGAUUUGAACCUGUGACCUUUCAGUCUUACACAAUCAGUGGCAUACCAGUAUUGAAGAAUACACUUUCCUUUGGAAAUGGAAUCAGAUUCAGAAACCAAAUCCUUGAUCAUUCACAUUGACAACAAGGCAUACGAAGAUGUUAAAGUGACUGCUAGUGCCAGACCUUUCUUCAAGUUGCUGGAUGGCAACGUGAUUUUCUUCUGGUACAAAUGGCUAGCAUCAAUCAUCUCCACAAAAGUUCGCGCUAAAAAGAGAAAAAAUGUAAAUGAAGUUACCAAUAUGAAUUUCAUCACCUACCUAUUUGGAAAAUGUGGACUGAAGCUUUACAACAUCACUGUAGUCAGACCAUCAGAUGGAUAUAUUGCUGAAUGUUCAACUCCAUUGUGCUGUACUUGGGUAAUUGAAGAGAAGGGAAUAUAUCAAGAAGAAAAUCCUACAAACCACUGCAAAUUCAAGUCAAUGUCUAAUAGUCUGAUAGGAAAGAGAAUUAAUUGUGAUUCCAUUGUAUAAGCCAAAUUAUUUUGUGCAAUAUGACUGCUACAAUUGGUUUUAUUUCAACAUAUGCAGUAGAGUCUCACUUAUCCAACAUAAACGGGCCGGCAGUACAUUGGAUAAGCAAAAAUGUUGGAUAAUGAGGGAUUAAGGAAAAGCUAUUAAACGUUAAAUUACGUUAUGAUUUUACAAAUUAAGCACCAACACAUUCAUGUUUUGCAACAAAUUGACAGAAAAAGUAGUUCAAUACAUGGUAAUGUUAUGUAGUAAUUACUGCAUUUAUGAAUUUAGCACCAAAACAUUGCAAUGUAUUGAAAACAUUGACUACAAAAAAAUGGGCUACUAACAAAUUGAC
Long non-coding RNA from Anolis carolinensis (green anole), 1122 nucleotides. RefSeq lists it as uncharacterized. The record is from RefSeq and is a predicted model, not a curated record. The transcript is spliced from 4 exons. Lineage: Eukaryota; Metazoa; Chordata; Lepidosauria; Squamata; Anolidae.